UACGAAGGGUGCAAGCGUUACUCGGAAUUACUGGGCGUAAAGCGUGCGUAGGCGGUUUGUUAAGUCCGCUGUGAAAGCCCUGGGCUCAACCUGGGAAUUGCAGUGGAUACUGGCAAGCUAGAGUGCGGUAGAGGAUGGUGGAAUUCCCGGUGUAGCGGUGAAAUGCGUAGAGAUCGGGAGGAACACCCGUGGCGAAGGCGGCCAUCUGGACCAGCACUGACGCUGAGGCACGAAAGCGUGGGGAGCGAACAGG
Molecule: ribosomal RNA, 253 nt
Filed under: uncultured bacterium
Lineage: Bacteria
Description: partial 16S ribosomal RNA
Rfam family: Bacterial small subunit ribosomal RNA
Source: RNAcentral